Myotis lucifugus (little brown bat) is the source of this 75-nucleotide non-coding RNA. Lineage: Eukaryota; Metazoa; Chordata; Mammalia; Chiroptera; Vespertilionidae. The record is from Rfam.
GGUGGUUCUCGGGUGAUGCACCCUGUAAUCGGGCUCCUUCCUCUCUUGUUCAGGGUGCAUCACCCAAGAACCGCA